This 432-nucleotide ribosomal RNA is filed under the name uncultured bacterium. Its description in RNAcentral is "partial 16S ribosomal RNA". It matches the Rfam family "Bacterial small subunit ribosomal RNA", at positions 29 to 507 of the family's 1533-position model. The record is from RNAcentral.
ACGAACGCUGGCGGCAUGCCUCACACAUGCAAGUCGAACGAGACCUUCGGGUCUAGUGGCGCACGGGUGCGUAACGCGUGGGAAUCUGCCCUUGGGUUCGGAAUAACAGUUGGAAACGACUGCUAAUACCGGAUGAUGACGUAAGUCCAAAGAUUUAUCGCCCAAGGAUGAGCCCGCGUAGGAUUAGCUAGUUGGUGAGGUAAAGGCUCACCAAGGCGACGAUCCUUAGCUGGUCUGAGAGGAUGAUCAGCCACACUGGGACUGAGACACGGCCCAGACUCCUACGGGAGGCAGCAGUGGGGAAUAUUGGACAAUGGGCGAAAGCCUGAUCCAGCAAUGCCGCGUGAGUGAUGAAGGCCUUAGGGUUGUAAAGCUCUUUUACCCGGGAUGAUAAUGACAGUACCGGGAGAAUAAGCUCCGGCUAACUCCGUG